ACCUGGCUGGCUCAGUUGUUAGAGUGUGUGACUCUUGAUCUUGGGGUCAUGAGUUCAAACCUCAUGUUGAGUG
This 73-nucleotide transfer RNA is filed under the name Canis lupus familiaris (dog). It matches the Rfam family "tRNA". Rfam says of the family: Transfer RNA (tRNA) molecules are approximately 80 nucleotides in length. Their secondary structure includes four short double-helical elements and three loops (D, anti-codon, and T loops). The record is from Rfam by way of RNAcentral. Lineage: Eukaryota; Metazoa; Chordata; Mammalia; Carnivora; Canidae. RNAcentral also lists the same sequence under 1 other name.